Molecule: ribosomal RNA, 1574 nt
Filed under: Lactobacillus gallinarum
Lineage: Bacteria; Bacillati; Bacillota; Bacilli; Lactobacillales; Lactobacillaceae
Description: bacterial SSU rRNA
Rfam family: Bacterial small subunit ribosomal RNA
Source: RNAcentral
UUCAAAAUGAGAGUUUGAUCCUGGCUCAGGACGAACGCUGGCGGCGUGCCUAAUACAUGCAAGUCGAGCGAGCAGAACCAGUAGAUUUACUUCGGUAAUGACGCUGGGGACGCGAGCGGCGGAUGGGUGAGUAACACGUGGGGAACCUGCCCCAUAGUCUGGGAUACCACUUGGAAACAGGUGCUAAUACCGGAUAAGAAAGCAGAUCGCAUGAUCAGCUUAUAAAAGGCGGCGUAAGCUGUCGCUAUGGGAUGGCCCCGCGGUGCAUUAGCUAGUUGGUAAGGUAACGGCUUACCAAGGCGAUGAUGCAUAGCCGAGUUGAGAGACUGAUCGGCCACAUUGGGACUGAGACACGGCCCAAACUCCUACGGGAGGCAGCAGUAGGGAAUCUUCCACAAUGGACGCAAGUCUGAUGGAGCAACGCCGCGUGAGUGAAGAAGGUUUUCGGAUCGUAAAGCUCUGUUGUUGGUGAAGAAGGAUAGAGGUAGUAACUGGCCUUUAUUUGACGGUAAUCAACCAGAAAGUCACGGCUAACUACGUGCCAGCAGCCGCGGUAAUACGUAGGUGGCAAGCGUUGUCCGGAUUUAUUGGGCGUAAAGCGAGCGCAGGCGGAAGAAUAAGUCUGAUGUGAAAGCCCUCGGCUUAACCGAGGAACUGCAUCGGAAACUGUUUUUCUUGAGUGCAGAAGAGGAGAGUGGAACUCCAUGUGUAGCGGUGGAAUGCGUAGAUAUAUGGAAGAACACCAGUGGCGAAGGCGGCUCUCUGGUCUGCAACUGACGCUGAGGCUCGAAAGCAUGGGUAGCGAACAGGAUUAGAUACCCUGGUAGUCCAUGCCGUAAACGAUGAGUGCUAAGUGUUGGGAGGUUUCCGCCUCUCAGUGCUGCAGCUAACGCAUUAAGCACUCCGCCUGGGGAGUACGACCGCAAGGUUGAAACUCAAAGGAAUUGACGGGGGCCCGCACAAGCGGUGGAGCAUGUGGUUUAAUUCGAAGCAACGCGAAGAACCUUACCAGGUCUUGACAUCUAGUGCCAUCCUAAGAGAUUAGGAGUUCCCUUCGGGGACGCUAAGACAGGUGGUGCAUGGCUGUCGUCAGCUCGUGUCGUGAGAUGUUGGGUUAAGUCCCGCAACGAGCGCAACCCUUGUUAUUAGUUGCCAGCAUUAAGUUGGGCACUCUAAUGAGACUGCCGGUGACAAACCGGAGGAAGGUGGGGAUGACGUCAAGUCAUCAUGCCCCUUAUGACCUGGGCUACACACGUGCUACAAUGGGCAGUACAACGAGAAGCGAGCCUGCGAAGGCAAGCGAAUCUCUGAAAGCUGUUCUCAGUUCGGACUGCAGUCUGCAACUCGACUGCACGAAGCUGGAAUCGCUAGUAAUCGCGGAUCAGCACGCCGCGGUGAAUACGUUCCCGGGCCUUGUACACACCGCCCGUCACACCAUGGAAGUCUGCAAUGCCCAAAGCCGGUGGCCUAACCUUCGGGAAGGAGCCGUCUAAGGCAGGGCAGAUGACUGGGGUGAAGUCGUAACAAGGUAGCCGUAGGAGAACCUGCGGCUGGAUCACCUCCUUUCUAAGGAA